AUAUUUACCUGGCAGAGGAGAUACCAUGAUCAUGAAGGUGGUUUUCUCAGGGUGAGGCUCAUCCAUUGAACUACGGGUCUGCUGACCUCUGCGAUUUCCCCAAAUAGGGGAAACUCGACUUUAUAAUUUGUGGUAGUGCGGGACUGCAUUCAUGCUUUCCCCUG
This is a small nuclear RNA of Chelonoidis abingdonii (Abingdon island giant tortoise), 164 nucleotides long. Its record names the gene U1. It matches the Rfam family "U1 spliceosomal RNA". From Rfam's summary of the family: U1 is a small nuclear RNA (snRNA) component of the spliceosome (involved in pre-mRNA splicing). Its 5' end forms complementary base pairs with the 5' splice junction, thus defining the 5' donor site of an intron. The record is from Ensembl. Lineage: Eukaryota; Metazoa; Chordata; Testudines; Testudinidae.